Molecule: ribosomal RNA, 255 nt
Filed under: uncultured bacterium
Lineage: Bacteria
Description: partial 16S ribosomal RNA
Rfam family: Bacterial small subunit ribosomal RNA
Source: RNAcentral
UACGGGGGGGGUAAGCGUUGUUCGGAAUUACUGGGCGUAAAGGGCUCGUAGGCGGCCAACUAAGUCAUACGUGAAAUCCCUCAGCUUAACUGGGGAACUGCGUGUGAUACUGGAUGGCUUGGAUUUGGGAGAGGGAUGGCGGAAUUCCAGGUGUAGCGGUGAAAUGCGUAGAUAAUCUGGAGGAACACCGGUGGCGAAGGCGGCAUCCUGGACCAAUAUUGACGCUGAGGAGCGAAAGCCAGGGGAGCAAACGGG